Molecule: long non-coding RNA, 126 nt
Organism: Ostrinia furnacalis (Asian corn borer)
Lineage: Eukaryota; Metazoa; Arthropoda; Insecta; Lepidoptera; Crambidae
Exons: 3
Source: RefSeq, a predicted model, not a curated record
UGUUUGGUACAAAAUAAUGGUUUUUGGUGGCGGAUGUACUGAACUUACAUUGUUCUAAGGAUUUUUGUUUGACGUUUGAUCAGAACCAUCGUUGUACUUCGGUAAAGUUUGUAACUUCGGUAAUUU